RNAcentral lists this ribosomal RNA (407 nucleotides) under uncultured bacterium. RNAcentral describes it as "partial 16S ribosomal RNA". It matches the Rfam family "Bacterial small subunit ribosomal RNA", at positions 28 to 526 of the family's 1533-position model. The record is from RNAcentral.
GACGAACGCUGGCGGCGUGCCUAAUACAUGCAAGUAGGACGCAGUUGCGAACGGGUGAGUAACGCGUAGGUAACUACCUAUUAGAGGGGGAUAACUAAUGGAAACGAUAGCUAAUACCGCAUACUAGUAGAUGGACCUGCGUUGUAUUAGCUAGUAGGUAGGGUAAUGGCCUACCUAGGCAACGAUACAUAGCCGGCCUUAGAUGUUGAUCUGCCAAACUGGUACUGAGGAACGGCCCAGACGCCUACGGGAGGCAGCAGUAGGGAAUCUUCGGCAAUGGGGGGAACCCUGACCGAGCAACGCCGCGUGAGUGAAGAAGGUUUUCGGAUCGUAAAGCUCUGUUGUUAAGGAAGCGGUACUUAACCAGAAAGGUACGGCUAACUACGUGCCAGCCGCCGCGGUAAUUC